This is a long non-coding RNA of Epinephelus fuscoguttatus (brown-marbled grouper), 724 nucleotides long. RefSeq lists it as uncharacterized. The record is from RefSeq and is a predicted model, not a curated record. The transcript is spliced from 3 exons. NCBI's taxonomy places the organism in Eukaryota, Metazoa, Chordata, Actinopteri, Perciformes, Serranidae.
UCAGACCGGAGGAAGUUGUCAGCGAAUGAGCGAACAGACUUCAGACUGGCCAGGUCGAGCUGCAUGAAGAUCACCUCGCUGUUUCCUGUCUCCUGAUAACAAGGACAACAAGGAGAGCUCGCUGUCUGUCCCUGCAGGCCAGAAUCACCCUCGCCCCCCUCUUGGCCAGGUCCAUUGCGGUGGUCUUACCGAUGCCGGUGUUUGCUCCUUGAGAGGAAGUGCAGAAUAACAGUGGCUAAACUACAUUUUCCUGCUGCUCCCAUCCACAGCAGUACAUUUCUCAGCUCCUGCUUCUCCAAACUGGGGGGGUGCCAACUGACAUCUACUGUAUGUCAUUGACCUUUUGCGAAGCCCCGCCCCCUUGUGAUGGUCUGUCAGAGUAAGCAUGGAGCCCUCACUGACGCUAACUGCACUCCCUGAAGAAAUAUGAUCAUAUUUUUGUAAAAAUGAAAGAGUGAUUCCAGAGAGAAGCAGACAGAGGGGUCUACAGUCUGUGCUUGAAGGAUAUAUCCAGGAUGUCAAACUGACUCAGCAGCAACAACAGGUUAAAAAGACAAAGAUAGUUAGAAGCUGAAGCCGAACUAUAGGCUACAGAUCACAGUGUAAAAGUGAACAACCACAUCACUGCUGAUCGCCACACAAGACAAUGAAUAUAAAGGGAAACUGCUGAUAUUGAACCAGCUGUGUGGCAUCGCAGUGUGUGCAGAUGAACAGUGUUUGCUGC